GAUGAACGCUGGCGGCGUGCUUAACACAUGCAAGUCGAACGGUGAAGGCGGAGCUUGCUCUGCUGGAUCAGUGGCGAACGGGUGAGUAACACGUGAGCAAUCUGCCCCUGACUCUGGGAUAAGCGCUGGAAACGGCGUCUAAUACUGGAUACGAGCUGCGAAGGCAUCUUCAGCAGCUGGAAAGAAUUUCGGUCAGGGAUGAGCUCGCGGCCUAUCAGCUUGUUGGUGAGGUAAUGGCUCACCAAGGCGUCGACGGGUAGCCGGCCUGAGAGGGUGACCGGCCACACUGGGACUGAGACACGGCACAGACUCCUACGGGAGGCAGCAGUGGGGAAUAUUGCACAAUGGGCGAAAGCCUGAUGCAGCAACGCCGCGUGAGGGACGACGGCCCUCGGGUUGUAAACCUCUUUUAGCAGGGAAGAAGCGAAAGUGACGGUACCUGCAGAAAAAGCGCCGGCUAACUACGUG
RNAcentral lists this ribosomal RNA (468 nucleotides) under uncultured bacterium. Its description in RNAcentral is "partial 16S ribosomal RNA". It matches the Rfam family "Bacterial small subunit ribosomal RNA", at positions 28 to 507 of the family's 1533-position model. The record is from RNAcentral.